CGACCUCUCUUCCUUGUUGCGGUGAUGCAGGUCGGACAUGAGGUGCUGGAGAGACGAGAACUGACGAGGUGACACCUUGUUUUACUCUAAAUGUUCACCUUUAGUGAUGAUUCUCUUCGUUAUUGUCGCAGGUGUCGUGUUUAUAUUUAUGCGUUUGCGCGUUUCUUGACGUUAUUUCCGCACAUUGUUAGCUCGCAGCUUCAGUAGCGCCAAAUGCACCUCGUGGUUUCCGCUGAUGAGGAAAAUGCAGCUGAAUAUUAAACGAUGCGUACGAGGGACUGAUGCAAUUUAGGCUUUGAUUGGGAGCUCAGUGAACUUUAAGGUGCUGGGGCUGUGUUCUGUAAUGUUAUAACAGUUUAGGUUGAUGUGUUUGAGGUUAAUGACUCCCAUAGGAGGAAGACCUGUGGGUCAGGGUUUGAGUGUACUUCAAACAUCACAUACAAAACGAUCUAAAUGAAGCUGGCUUGCUUCACCGAGAACUGAACGAAACUGAUUAAAAUUGGAAGUUAAUUUUAGUUGCGUCAAACGACACAAUACCCGUGCAUAAGACCUCCGUGCUACUAUGUUGGGUCAACUAACGUCCACUAUGAACUUCAUAAGUAACAAAGUUAAAACUAAUAUAAAGGUCAAGCACUAAGGUCUUGUUUACAAAGGGUAUAAUCCGUUUUAUUAAGAACUUGAGGAGUCAGCGUGUUCCCUUUGUUUAUGCUUGUAAAACAAAGGGUUUCCUGUCUUGUCCUAUCUGAGAGUGUAAAUUCCUAAAUGAGCUAAAUAGGUUCUGUAAGUUCUAAACAUUGCUGUAAUAUUUACCAAAAUCACAAGCUGAAUGUUCAGUUCACACAUUUUAAAAUGCAUCAACUAAACUGUGCAUUAUAUAAAAAAAUAAGAAAUUAUUUCUUUACUCUUAGCUUUAUCACACUAGGCCCAUUAAUUGAGUUGUGCCAUUUCAGUUCUCAUCCUAUACCUGCUGCAGAUGCAGACUUGCCAGCUUUUAGUCAAACCUUGAUGAUGAGUUGCAUGUGAGUCCGUGUUUCACCUGAAACCUCAUGAUUAUCUUUCACUGCACUGAUGGGUUUGACAGUAAGGGCGCAGGUCAGGCACUCUGGUGUGUAAGUGCACAGUUAAGCUAAUCUUAUGUUCCUUUUCUUUCAGGAUUUCAGAACCUGGGUGUGUCCAAGGUGAUGGAUCCUUCAUGAGCUCUGGCUGCUGGGUUUCCUCAGGUGGAAAUGUUGUGAUUUUAAAGUAUUAAAUGUAAUUUAUUUUAAUUAAAUCUUUGUUUACUGACAAAUACAACUCGAUCUAUAUUUCAGUGAUAACAAUUUGUAGUAGGUACAUUUGUGUGUUCAAUAAAGCAUCUUUUUUGUAAAUCAAACUUUUGCAGGUUUUUAUUUCAAAUGUGUAAUUUGAAUUGUUUUUGCAGGAUGUGUUGGGCUUGGACUGUGCAAAGGACUUCUUUUUAAUUAUGGUUAAUGUGCCGUACAUUUGAAGUUGGGGCAAAAUGGGUAAAUGAAUAUUAAAAUUAGACUAGGAGCAUGUCUAAAUGGACCAGUCAAAAC
Molecule: long non-coding RNA, 1556 nt
Organism: Astatotilapia calliptera (eastern happy)
Lineage: Eukaryota; Metazoa; Chordata; Actinopteri; Cichliformes; Cichlidae
Source: Ensembl